UUUCCGAAGUGCAAUCGGAAGAGACAAGUCCGCAGUAGGAGCAGGGUCAGGUGCAGGACGUGAAUCAACCGGGCCGGAUGCUGGGCGAGGAGGACGAUGAUAUGUCAAGAGUGGAGUGUCUCGUGCAGGGAGUCUAUGAGGAGCCACAGUAGACGUUCCAACGUUUGGAAUGGGUAAGACUUCUGUAGCAGAAGGUGAAGGAGGAGAUAUAGUAAACUCCCUAACGGCCGGUAUAGGUAAAAUCUCAGAUAUAUCAAGAUGGUAAGAAUGGUCAGAAGAGGUAAAGAAAGGUUUAGACUCAAAAAUGUGACAUAAGCUGACAUAAGGUACCUACGAAGAUCAGGUGAAUAACAAUGAUAGCCCUUCUGAGCACGAGAAUAACCAAGGAAGACACACUUGAGAGCACGAGGAGCUAACUUAUCUUUCCCAGGAGCUAAGUUAUGAACNNN
Molecule: long non-coding RNA, 449 nt
Filed under: Nicotiana benthamiana
Lineage: Eukaryota; Viridiplantae; Streptophyta; Magnoliopsida; Solanales; Solanaceae
Description: long non-coding RNA (NBEN_LNC007950)
Source: RNAcentral